RNAcentral lists this ribosomal RNA (372 nucleotides) under uncultured bacterium. RNAcentral describes it as "bacterial SSU rRNA". It matches the Rfam family "Bacterial small subunit ribosomal RNA", at positions 524 to 898 of the family's 1533-position model. The record is from RNAcentral.
UACGGAGGGUGCAAGCGUUGUCCGGAUUUAUUGGGUUUAAAGGGUGCGUAGGCGGUUAAUUAAGUCAGUGGUGAAAUCCUGGAGCUCAACUUCAGAACUGCCAUUGAUACUGGUUGACUUGAGUACAGACGAGGUUGGCGGAAUUGAUGGUGUAGCGGUGAAAUGCAUAGAUACCAUCAAGAACACCGAUUGCGAAGGCAGCUAACUAGGCUGUAACUGACGCUGAGGCACGAAAGUGUGGGGAUCAAACAGGAUUAGAUACCCUGGUAGUCCACACUGUAAACGAUGAUCACUCGAUGUUGGCGAUAGACAGCCAGCGUCCAAGCGAAAGCGUUAAGUGAUCCACCUGGGGAGUACGCUCGCAAGAGUGAA